This 1432-nucleotide ribosomal RNA is filed under the name Staphylococcus aureus M1442. Its description in RNAcentral is "bacterial LSU rRNA". It matches the Rfam family "Bacterial large subunit ribosomal RNA", at positions 1492 to 2925 of the family's 2925-position model. Lineage: Bacteria; Bacillati; Bacillota; Bacilli; Caryophanales; Staphylococcaceae. The record is from RNAcentral.
GUGCGAUUGGAUUGCACGUCUAAGCAGUAAGGCUGAGUAUUAGGCAAAUCCGGUACUCGUUAAGGCUGAGCUGUGAUGGGGAGAAGACAUUGAGUCUUCGAGUCGUUGAUUUCACACUGCCGAGAAAAGCCUCUAGAUAGAAAAUAGGUGCCCGUACCGCAAACCGACACAGGUAGUCAAGAUGAGAAUUCUAAGGUGAGCGAGCGAACUCUCGUUAAGGAACUCGGCAAAAUGACCCCGUAACUUCGGGAGAAGGGGUGCUCUUUAGGGUUAACGCCCAGAAGAGCCGCAGUGAAUAGGCCCAAGCGACUGUUUAUCAAAAACACAGGUCUCUGCUAAACCGUAAGGUGAUGUAUAGGGGCUGACGCCUGCCCGGUGCUGGAAGGUUAAGAGGAGUGGUUAGCUUCUGCGAAGCUACGAAUCGAAGCCCCAGUAAACGGCGGCCGUAACUAUAACGGUCCUAAGGUAGCGAAAUUCCUUGUCGGGUAAGUUCCGACCCGCACGAAAGGCGUAACGAUUUGGGCACUGUCUCAACGAGAGACUCGGUGAAAUCAUAGUACCUGUGAAGAUGCAGGUUACCCGCGACAGGACGGAAAGACCCCGUGGAGCUUUACUGUAGCCUGAUAUUGAAAUUCGGCACAGCUUGUACAGGAUAGGUAGGAGCCUUUGAAACGUGAGCGCUAGCUUACGUGGAGGCGCUGGUGGGAUACUACCCUAGCUGUGUUGGCUUUCUAACCCGCACCACUUAUCGUGGUGGGAGACAGUGUCAAGCGGGCAGUUUGACUGGGGCGGUCGCCUCCUAAAAGGUAACGGAGGCGCUCAAAGGUUCCCUCAGAAUGGUUGGAAAUCAUUCAUAGAGUGUAAAGGCAUAAGGGAGCUUGACUGCGAGACCUACAAGUCGAGCAGGGUCGAAAGACGGACUUAGUGAUCCGGUGGUUCCGCAUGGAAGGGCCAUCGCUCAACGGAUAAAAGCUACCCCGGGGAUAACAGGCUUAUCUCCCCCAAGAGUUCACAUCGACGGGGAGGUUUGGCACCUCGAUGUCGGCUCAUCGCAUCCUGGGGCUGUAGUCGGUCCCAAGGGUUGGGCUGUUCGCCCAUUAAAGCGGUACGCGAGCUGGGUUCAGAACGUCGUGAGACAGUUCGGUCCCUAUCCGUCGUGGGCGUAGGAAAUUUGAGAGGAGCUGUCCUUAGUACGAGAGGACCGGGAUGGACAUACCUCUGGUGUACCAGUUGUCGUGCCAACGGCAUAGCUGGGUAGCUAUGUGUGGACGGGAUAAGUGCUGAAAGCAUCUAAGCAUGAAGCCCCCCUCAAGAUGAGAUUUCCCAACUUCGGUUAUAAGAUCCCUCAAAGAUGAUGAGGUUAAUAGGUUCGAGGUGGAAGCAUGGUGACAUGUGGAGCUGACGAAUACUAAUCGAUCGAAGACUUAAUCAA